This 76-nucleotide transfer RNA is filed under the name Klebsiella pneumoniae. RNAcentral describes it as "tRNA-Lys". It matches the Rfam family "tRNA". Rfam says of the family: Transfer RNA (tRNA) molecules are approximately 80 nucleotides in length. Their secondary structure includes four short double-helical elements and three loops (D, anti-codon, and T loops). The record is from RNAcentral. Lineage: Bacteria; Pseudomonadati; Pseudomonadota; Gammaproteobacteria; Enterobacterales; Enterobacteriaceae.
GGGUCGUUAGCUCAGUUGGUAGAGCAGUUGACUUUUAAUCAAUUGGUCGCAGGUUCGAAUCCUGCACGAUCCACCA